CCCUUAGAUGUUCUGGGCCGCACGCGCGCUACACUGACGAAUGCAACGAGCUUAUAACCUUGGCCGAAAGGUCUGGGUAAUCUCCAAAUUUCGUCGUGAUGGGGAUAGAUUAUUGCAAUUAUUAAUCUUCAACGAGGAAUGCCUAGUAAGCGCAAGUCAUCAGCUUGCGUUGAUUACGUCCGUGCCCUUUGUACACACCGCCCGUCGCUCCUACCGAUUGAAUGGUCCGGUGAAGCGUUCGGACCGUGGCCUUUGGACGGUUCGCCGUCUGUUGGCUGCGGGAAGUUCGUUAAACCUUAUCAUUUAGAGGAAGGAGAAGUCGUANCA
Molecule: ribosomal RNA, 327 nt
Filed under: uncultured eukaryote
Lineage: Eukaryota
Description: partial 18S ribosomal RNA
Rfam family: Eukaryotic small subunit ribosomal RNA
Source: RNAcentral